Molecule: ribosomal RNA, 253 nt
Filed under: uncultured bacterium
Lineage: Bacteria
Description: partial 16S ribosomal RNA
Rfam family: Bacterial small subunit ribosomal RNA
Source: RNAcentral
UACGAAGGGGGCUAGCGUUGCUCGGAAUUACUGGGCGUAAAGCGCACGUAGGCGGUCUUUUAAGUCGGGGGUGAAAUCCUGGAGCUCAACUCCAGAACUGCCUUCGAUACUGGAAGACUUGAGUCCGGGAGAGGUGAGUUGAACUGCGAGUGUAGAGGUGAAAUUCGUAGAUAUUCGCAAGAACACCAGUGGCGAAGGCGGCUCACUGGCCCGGUACUGACGCUGAGGUGCGAAAGCGUGGGGAGCAAACAGG